RNAcentral lists this ribosomal RNA (415 nucleotides) under uncultured bacterium. Its description in RNAcentral is "bacterial SSU rRNA". It matches the Rfam family "Bacterial small subunit ribosomal RNA", at positions 355 to 786 of the family's 1533-position model. The record is from RNAcentral.
UGGGGAGUAUUGCACAAUGGGGAAACCCGUGCAUGCAGCGAUGCCGCGUGAGGGAAGAAGGUUUUCGGAUUGUAAACCUCUGUGGAGGGGGAGCGAUAAUGACGGUACCCCUUAGGAAGCCACGGCUAACUACGUGCCAGCAGCCGCGGUAAUACGUAGGUGGCGAGCGUUGUCCGGAAUUACUGGGUGUAAAGGGAGCGUAGGCGGGAAAGCAAGUCAGAAGUGAAAACUAUGGGCUCAACCCAUAGCCUGCUUUUGAAACUGUUUUUCUUGAGUGAGUCAGAGGCGAGCGGAAUUCCCAGUGUAGCGGUGAAAUGCGUAGAUAUUGGGAGGAACACCAGUGGCGAAGGCGGCUUGCUGGGGCUUUACUGACGCUGAGGCUCGAAAGCGUGGGGAGCAAACAGGAUUAGAUACC